This 651-nucleotide ribosomal RNA is filed under the name uncultured Actinomycetales bacterium. RNAcentral describes it as "bacterial SSU rRNA". It matches the Rfam family "Bacterial small subunit ribosomal RNA", at positions 68 to 724 of the family's 1533-position model. The record is from RNAcentral. Lineage: Bacteria; Bacillati; Actinomycetota; Actinomycetes; Actinomycetales.
GGAAAGGCUCCUUGCUUGCAAGGGGUACUCGAGUGGCGAACGGGUGAGUAACACGUGGGUGAUCUGCCUUGCACUUCGGGAUAAGCCUGGGAAACUGGGUCUAAUACCGGAUAGGACCAUGCUUUAGUGUGUGUGGUGGAAAGUUUUUUCGGUGCAAGAUGAGCCCGCGGCCUAUCAGCUUGUUGGUGGGGUAAUGGCCUACCAAGGCGACGACGGGUAGCCGGCCUGAGAGGGUGUACGGCCACAUUGGGACUGAGACACGGCCCAGACUCCUACGGGAGGCAGCAGUGGGGAAUAUUGCACAAUGGGCGCAAGCCUGAUGCAGCGACGCCGCGUGGGGGAUGACGGCCUUCGGGUUGUAAACUCCUUUCGCUAGGGAAGAAGCCACUGUGUGGUGACGGUACCUGGAUAAGAAGCACCGGCUAACUACGUGCCAGCAGCCGCGGUAAUACGUAGGGUGCGAGCGUUGCCCGGAAUUACUGGGCGUAAAGAGCUCGUAGGUGGUUUGUCGCGUCGUCUGUGAAAUCCCGGGGCUUAACUUCGGGCGUGCAGGCGAUACGGGCAUAACUAGAGUGCUGUAGGGGAGACUGGAAUUCCUGGUGUAGCGGUGAAAUGCGCAGAUAUCAGGAGGAACACCGAUGGCGAAGGCAG